GGCAACUUCAGCCACAUGGAGAUCGUGAAGGAGAAGGUGCAGCUGCAGGUCGAGCCUGAGGCUUCAGCCUUCUGCACUCCCAGCUACUUCACGCUCAACUCACAGGUUCUGACAGGUCAGGGCAAGGCGGGGGCCCAAUGAGAGUGGCAGACUGCCUUGACACAGCCCGGUGUUUCCCCAGACAGCAUACACCAUCCCCAUCAUGGCCUUCGCCUUCGUCUGCCACCCCGAGGUGCUGCCCAUCUAUACUGAGCUCAAGGACCCCUCCAAGAGGAAGAUGCAGCACAUCUCCAACCUGUCCAUCGCUGUCAUGUACAUCAUGUACUUCCUGGCUGCCCUCUUCGGCUACCUCACCUUCUACAACGGGGUGGAGUCGGAGCUGCUGCACACCUACAGCAAGGUGGACCCGUUUGACGUCCUGAUCCUGUGUGUGCGCGU
RNAcentral lists this small RNA (438 nucleotides) under Pan troglodytes (chimpanzee). Its description in RNAcentral is "retained intron". The record is from RNAcentral. Lineage: Eukaryota; Metazoa; Chordata; Mammalia; Primates; Hominidae.